Molecule: long non-coding RNA, 366 nt
Filed under: Brassica rapa (field mustard)
Lineage: Eukaryota; Viridiplantae; Streptophyta; Magnoliopsida; Brassicales; Brassicaceae
Description: long non-coding RNA (BRAP_LNC004167)
Source: RNAcentral
AAAAAGAUGUACUUUUUCUUAGGAUACGAGAUAAGGCCAUAAGAACACUUCCAAUGGUAGUAUUACGAUGAGUUCUUAGUAUUUGAAGAAAAAGAAAAAAAAAUGAAAUUAAGAGGGAAAAUGAGCAAAAUUUCUUUGUUAUGAGUUUUUAAGAAACUAUGAGAUACUAGAAAAACACAUAUCAUUCAAAUAGAUGAUUAAUUAGUUUAAAUAAAAUAAAAUAUAAAAACUAAUUUUAAUACUAAUAUUUUUUUUAGAAACCUUCAUAGUUUCUAACAAUUGGAAGUGUUCUAAAAGUAAAAAGUAACAAUGCAAGUAAAAGUAGUUAGCGAUGACGGGACAAUCAAAUAAAUGUAGUGGAAUAAC